UUCUUGUAAGGCAGGCCUGGUGGUGGCGAAAUCUCUCAAUUGCUUCUCCAUAAAGGAUUUUCUUUCUCCUUGCUUAUGAAGCUUAGUUUGGCUGGAUAUGAAAUUCUGGGUUAAAAAUUAUUUUCUUCAAGAAUGUUGAGUAUUGGCC
Sapajus apella (tufted capuchin) is the source of this 148-nucleotide long non-coding RNA. RefSeq lists it as uncharacterized. The record is from RefSeq and is a predicted model, not a curated record. The transcript has 3 exons. NCBI's taxonomy places the organism in Eukaryota, Metazoa, Chordata, Mammalia, Primates, Cebidae.